UACGUAGGGUGCGAGCGUUGUCCGGAAUUACUGGGCGUAAAGGGCGCGUAGGCGGCCUGCUAAGUCGAACGUGAAAUCCCCGGGCUCAACCCGGGAACUGCGUCCGAUACUGACAGGCUUGAAUCCGGGAGAGGGAUGUGGAAUUCCAGGUGUAGCGGUGAAAUGCGUAGAUAUCUGGAGGAACACCGGUGGCGAAGGCGGCAUCCUGGACCGGUAUUGACGCUGAUGCGCGAAAGCCAGGGGAGCAAACGGG
RNAcentral lists this ribosomal RNA (253 nucleotides) under uncultured bacterium. RNAcentral's name for it is "partial 16S ribosomal RNA". It matches the Rfam family "Bacterial small subunit ribosomal RNA", at positions 524 to 776 of the family's 1533-position model. The record is from RNAcentral.